GCUGGGCAUAGUGGCAUGUGCCUGUAGUCCCAGCUACUCAGAAGGCUAUGGUGGGAGGAUUGCUUGAGACCAGGAGAGUCCAGGAGUUUGAGGCUGCAGUGUGCUAUGAUUGUGCCUAUGAAUAGCCACUGCACUCCAGCCUGGGCAACAUAGUGAGAUCCCAUCUCUU
Molecule: non-coding RNA, 169 nt
Filed under: Chlorocebus sabaeus (green monkey)
Lineage: Eukaryota; Metazoa; Chordata; Mammalia; Primates; Cercopithecidae
Source: Rfam by way of RNAcentral